GAUGAACGCUGGCGGCGUGCCUAAUACAUGCAAGUCGAGCGAACGGACGAGAAGCUUGCUUCUCUGAUGUUAGCGGCGGACGGGUGAGUAACACGUGGAUAACCUACCUAUAAGACUGGGAUAACUUCGGGAAACCGGAGCUAAUACCGGAUAAUAUUUUGAACCGCAUGGUUCAAUAGUGAAAGACGGUCUUGCUGUCACUUAUAGAUGGAUCCGCGCUGCAUUAGCUAGUUGGUAAGGUAACGGCUUACCAAGGCAACGAUGCAUAGCCGACCUGAGAGGGUGAUCGGCCAAACUGGAACUGAGAAACGGUCCAGACUCCUACGGGAGGCAGCAGUAGGGAAACUUCCGCAAUGGGCGAAAGGCUGACGGAGCAACGCCGCGUGAGUGAUGAAGGUCUUCGGAUCGUAAAACUCUGUUAUUAGGGAAGAACAUAUGUGUAAGUAACUGUGCACAGCUUGACGGUACCUAAUCAGAAAGCCACGGCUAACUACGUG
Molecule: ribosomal RNA, 497 nt
Filed under: uncultured bacterium
Lineage: Bacteria
Description: partial 16S ribosomal RNA
Rfam family: Bacterial small subunit ribosomal RNA
Source: RNAcentral